GUCUUUGUAGUACAUUAAAUACACUGGUCUUGUAAACCAGAAAAGGAGCAUAACUAACCUCCCUAAGACU
This 70-nucleotide transfer RNA is filed under the name Redunca arundinum (southern reedbuck). Its description in RNAcentral is "tRNA-Thr". The record is from RNAcentral. Lineage: Eukaryota; Metazoa; Chordata; Mammalia; Artiodactyla; Bovidae.